This is a long non-coding RNA of Cervus elaphus (red deer), 210 nucleotides long. RefSeq lists it as uncharacterized. The record is from RefSeq and is a predicted model, not a curated record. Lineage: Eukaryota; Metazoa; Chordata; Mammalia; Artiodactyla; Cervidae. The transcript has 3 exons.
AUGCCCUACUCCAGGGGAUCUUCCCAAUCCAGCAUUUCCUGCAACAGAUUCCACAUGGUGGCACUACUAGUAAAGAACUGGCCUGAAAUGCAGGAGACCUAAGAGACAUGGGUUCAAUCCCUGGGUCGGGAAGAUCCCCUGAAGAAGGAAAUGUUCACAGCACAUUAAACUUCUGAAACUCAACAACAAACAAAGAAACACCUUAUGAAG